Molecule: long non-coding RNA, 251 nt
Organism: Thalassophryne amazonica
Lineage: Eukaryota; Metazoa; Chordata; Actinopteri; Batrachoidiformes; Batrachoididae
Exons: 3
Source: RefSeq, a predicted model, not a curated record
AGUUUAUACUUUAUUUUGUUUGUCACAAACAUAUUUUUGUACUAUAAUAAAAUAUUUGCUUUAUUUGCUGAGAAAAUACUUGAAUGUAAUAUAUAUUCUGUUUCAAUAAUACAAGCAAAGUUUAAAAUAAUUGAGAUGACUGACCUACAUAAGGCCAAAUACACAAACCAGAAGAAAUGAUGAAAAUAAAUACAAUGCAUUUUGAUCAGUCAUGGCAAACAUAAUUUUUUUUAUUAUUUUAUUUUUUUAAU